UUAACUGUAACCUUAUGUUAUGAUUAUAAAGAUUUCUUGAUUGUUGAAUUAUUUUCGCUGCAAUGAGCUAGUUUAGGCGAGCAUGUGAUGAUAGGUGUUUAAUCUAAUGGAUGAUUUAAAUAACUCGUGUUACAGAGCUGGUUUAUAUUGUGUUCGAGUGACAUCCUAUGUAUGUUGUUGUUUUAAUUUCGCUUUAUUUCACGUUUCAAGGUUUAGGGUGUUACAUAGUGGUAUCAGAGAAGUUCGGUCCAUCCGGUCAG
Molecule: long non-coding RNA, 260 nt
Filed under: Lathyrus oleraceus (garden pea)
Lineage: Eukaryota; Viridiplantae; Streptophyta; Magnoliopsida; Fabales; Fabaceae
Description: Pisum sativum (pea) long non-coding RNA (PSAT_LNC013889)
Source: RNAcentral